UUAACUGUAGGGGGAGGGAGCAGAAAUGUUGUCUAUUUCGGCUUAAAAAUCACCUAUAAGUGCCCUAUUUUUCCAAAUGUUACACCUUUAAUCCCCAGAAGUUCAAAUCCAUUAUGGAUUAUAUACACUUUGUCAUCAAAAUUAUUGGGACAUCUCGCAAUUACAGUAGGUUAAAAAAAAAAAAAGUGAGUUAGUCCCCAUUUAGCAGCAAUAACUGUGUCCUGGGAAGACUUUCUACUACAUAUUUAAUGUGUGUCCACUCUUCCAGAAUAACAUUUGUAAGGUCAGAGGUCACUGCUGUCAUCUUAAACUGGUUGCUGUGACCAUCAAGUUGGCAGCAUAAAAGUGUCCAGCAGAUGGCAGCAUAGCCUUGUCUUCCCUGGAAUGUUUUUGCAAGCACUCUGGAAGUAAGUAACAAUGUUUUCACAUCUUGAUGCAGGCUUGUGAGCAAGACUUAUCCAUUAUAAUUUUAUACAGGACUCCACAACUCUGCUCCAUUUUUACUAGGAAACUAUAUAGUUGUUAUUGUGUACUAACUAGAGUUGUUAUUGUGUACUUUCUGUACCCUGAGGGCACAUGUUCUGUCUGAACAAGGCAGCUCACAUCAAGUUGGAUGGACAUUGAUUUGACCAAUUACAAGUCCUCAAAUCACUUAACAAUGCUGUGUAUUUCUAUAUUGUUGUGUAAAAACGGCGUACACACGAUGUCAGAGACUAAUACCAGUGAGUGGUGAUAGAUUGCAGUGUAGAGUUGUUGUUGUCCUUCCUGUGCAGCCAAAUUAAAAAGAAAUAUGUGAUGAAAAUCAUGUCCACUCUAUAUUGCAUGAUGAACUUAAUGAUGAUUGUGUAAUUGUGUCUGAAGGGAAGACACCUCAGCUUGAAAAACGCAGCCUUGAGGGUUUGCUAACUUCCCAGUCAUCAAGGUGUGUUGUGGGUGUGGCGCACAAAUAAAGGUGAGUCUGUCCAGCCAGGAAAUGAUUCACAUGAUAUGAUUUUUUUUUACCAUGGAGAUAAAAGACCAACUGCACGUUUGUUCUCCACCUGAAUCCUUACGUAAUCCGAUUUUAUGAUGCUUUUGAGGACACAUUGUGAGGUAAACAGUGCAUUGGGCAACAGAGGUGGGGAGAAAGUUGGUAAGCAUGAAGGAUUUCAGGAGGAGCUGGGAGUGUCAGACAUGCUUCAUUCCUUUCCAGCAUGUUGGGACUCAUUCCCGGCCUGCACUCUUUUCUAAAACCAUCUUGAUUUUCCAAAGAAGUGUUUGGCACCCAUUGUCUAGUUCCUCCACGCCAAACUCAGCCAACCAUGCCUGCAGCUUUGUGCACAGACCACAGUGUUCAACAACAACAAGUCAUCAUGUCAUGCUUGCAUUGGCAAUGAUCUUCUUCUCCCAUCUUCUCAGAUAGCAGCUGGUCCUCUGUGUGAUUUAUCACACUUACCUGAGACUCUGCUGAGGAGCGCCUCAGGAAUUCCAGGAUUCCACGUCAACCUCAGAAACACGGAGCGCUCUAAGUGGCUGAGCCGUCGGCGGUCCCGUCUUGUCCCCUUGUAAGGAAUGGCAACAGAGGAGGAUAAACGACUGAAAACAAGAGGAUAGAGUAAAAGAAGGAGCUUAUUGAUUACAGCGUGGGCUACGAUGGCGGACGCGCGGACACAAUAGGUAAGAAAAGUCGGUUUUGCAUAACA
This is a non-coding RNA of Nerophis lumbriciformis (worm pipefish), 1682 nucleotides long. NCBI's taxonomy places the organism in Eukaryota, Metazoa, Chordata, Actinopteri, Syngnathiformes, Syngnathidae. The record is from RefSeq and is a predicted model, not a curated record.